This 1526-nucleotide long non-coding RNA is filed under the name Cairina moschata (Muscovy duck). RNAcentral describes it as "domestica (muscovy Duck (domestic type)) lncRNA (ENSCMMG00000007200.1)". Lineage: Eukaryota; Metazoa; Chordata; Aves; Anseriformes; Anatidae. The record is from RNAcentral.
CUCAUGCUCAGUUAACUGCCUACCAGUAAUAAUUUCAAUGUUUGUCUUUACUGACUGAUUACAUCAUUCUCUGGAGAAUUAAUUUAUUGAUUCAUUGAUGUCUUAUUUAAUAAUGAAAUUACUUUUCAUCCCACUUAGCUGAUUCACUGCAUUUUUGAUUGUCCACUUAUUGAAUUUAUUUGUUUAGCCUUAAUUAGAUUAUUAAUCCUUAAACUUUGCCUGUUUAAUACCACUCUAUUACCUGUGUAUUUUAAUUAUAAUGAGUUUUGCAACCUAAUUGACUCUGUACCUACAUGAUUUUCUCACUUAAUUAAUUGUGUUUAUACGAUUAAUUGGUUGAUUUAUCCACCUCUAUUUAAUCACUGAAUAAUUGUAUCUUUUGCUGGCACUGAGUUAUGUAAUGAUUUAGUAGCCAUAGUCACAUACUACCAAUAUUUGUCCAGAGCAGACCAUGUCUCCUUCAUCUUCCUUACAUUUUUACCUAUCACUACCUCCUCUACCUUUUUAGUGUCCUCACUGUUUCUUUUUUUUUGUUGUUCUUUGUUUGUUUUUUAUUUUAUUCAAAUUAAAUACAUAUUGAUCUUUAACAUUAUCAAAAUAUCUGUUUAGUAAUGUAAAUUUAAAAAAUAUAAAUUAAAAUUAUUCCCCCCAGGGACAAGCAUGACUACAGAGGAUAAGAAAAAGGCUGAGGUUCUAAUUGCCUUCUUUGUAUCUGUCUUUACCUGCCAGACCACUUAUCCUUGGGGUACUCAGCCUCCUGACCUGGAAGUCUGGGACAACCAGGGGAUCAGGCCCAGUCAGCAUGGGUUCAUGAAAGACCCUACAGAUUCCUGCCUUCUGCUCAUCUGUGAAAGCUCAGCCUGCAAGAAAACAACCCGCUGCUGUUCUUCAAGCUUCCAGCUUUUCUGCUCUCUUCCAUUCUUCACUGAUCAUGUUUUAUUAUGUGACACAGCAUGCAUCACUUUUAGAUAAAUAAAAGAGCAAGUAAAACAGCUCCUUUUCCAAAGACUUUUAAACAUGGAAGAAAAUAUAUAAUGCAUUUAGGCAAACACAAAAAAGGUUUGAUAACAAUUUCACUUAUUCUUCUUUCUUUUCCCAUUUCAGUCUCAUUAUGAUGAGAAUUUAAUCUGCUUUUGUCUUUGCAGAACUUCACAAGCCCUUGCCUUAUCUUGAAAAAGUCAAUAUAUGUUAAAAGCUUUUUUUCAUGAAUAACUAUAUUAAAAAUUAAAAAAUUAACAAGAUCCUUUUUUGUUUGUUUGUUUGUUUUUUGUGAAGCAAAGAACUGAGCACAUGGCUUCACUUUAAUAAAAUCUGAGUGCAUAUCACUUUUUAAUAUUAGUUACAAUUUGUAAAAAAUAAGACAUUUCAGUAAGGAAGGGAGACUAAUGAGUUUUCCUCUGAAUCUUUGAUAGUUCCUGUUAGAAAAGAAUGCAAAUAUUUACUCGUGAAACUGGAGAUGAAGAGAAAACACAUUCCAGACUGGUAAUUCUCGUAGUUCCUCGUAUUAAACAUAUAACACUUUCCUA